GCGACAGCCCGCCGCUUCCCUCCGCUCCCUUCGCCGCGCCUCGCGUGCUAGCGGUGCCCUUGUGAGCCACUGCGUUCUCCAAGGCCAGAACGGGACAGUUGACGAUGGUCGUACUUCUCCAUGUUCUGAGACCAGUUUAAACAAAAACAAAAACCAGACAACAACCUUGCAAGGGAAAGAAUUCAGAGUAAAUAAACAGUCUUUUUCUGGGAAGUAAAAUAUUUCCCUAAGAUGGAGAAAUUGAGAUGAGAGCUCAUCCACAAGAUUACCCAUCAAUGAGCACCAAUAGCAACCAAAUCCACUAGAAGACUGGGAGCUUUUAAGUCAAGAAACUUACAUCAGUAUCAUCAUUCCAAGAAGCGGUAUCCAAGCUGUUUUAUCGAAAGUGCGCAUGGGAGGCAGAUUUUGACUCCAAAAGUCCAGGAUGGGGCCUGAGGUUCUGCAUGUCUAACAAUUUCCCAGCUGAUGCCAAAGCUGCUGAUCAGAGUCUACACCUUAAGAAAUAAGACUCUGAGAAUUUAUAGAAACAAACAUUAGAAGGCAGGAAUGUGGAGAGAAGAAAGCUACCUGACAAGGGAAUCUCAGGAUACAAGGAAAACACCAAGGUGAAGACACUUAAAGAAGGUGACAUAUGACCACAAGAAUUAAGAACAAACAGGGAAACAUGAUAUCACAAGAAAAAAAUAUGAAGCCAGUGACUAACCCUGAAGGGACAGAGAAGAAUGUACUGCCUGACAAAGAAUUCAACAUUUCUAUUUUAAAGAAGAUCCUUGAGGAAUCACCACACUGUCUUCCACAAUGGUUGAACUAAUUUACACUCCAACCAACAGGGUAAAAGCGUUCCUAUUUCUACACAUCCUCUCCACCAUCUGUUGUUUCCUGACUUUUUAAUGAUCACCAUUCUAACUGGCCUGAGAUGGUAACUUGUUGUGGUUUUGAUUUUCAUUUCUAUAAUGACCAGUGAUGAUGAGCUUUUUCCCAUAUGUUUGUGGGCUGCAUAAUGUCUUCUUUUGAGAACUGUCUCUUCAUAUCCUUCGCCCACUUUCUGAUAGGGUUGUUUGUUUUUUUCUUGUAAAUUUGUUUAAGUUCUUCGUAGAUUCUGGAUAUUAGCCCUUUGUCAGAUGGAUAGAUUGCAAAAAUUUUCUCCCAUUCUGUUCAGGUCUUGUCCCCAUUUUUAAUCCCAGGCUUUUCUUGCUAUUGAGUUUUUAAAUAUAAUUUGGAUAUUAACUCUUUAUCACAUAUAUACAAUGUAUAAGAAAUAUGCAGAUAUUUCAUAUCAUUAUGUAGAUUGUCUAUUUUCUCUGUUGA
This 1308-nucleotide long non-coding RNA is filed under the name Homo sapiens (human). Its description in RNAcentral is "lymphatic endothelial transcriptional regulator lncRNA 1". The record is from RNAcentral. Lineage: Eukaryota; Metazoa; Chordata; Mammalia; Primates; Hominidae.